AGAGUUUGAUCCUGGCUCAGAACGAACGCUCGCGGCGUGCCUAACACAUGCAAGUCGCGCGGGCCUGGGGGCAACUCCAGGUCAGCGGCAGACGGGUGCGUAACACGUGGGUAAUCUGCCCUCGAGUGGGGAAUAACCCGGGGAAACUCGGGCUAAUACCGCAUGACAUCGCGGGGUCGAAGGAUCCUGCGAUCAAAGCUGGGGACCGCAAGGCCUGGCGCUUGAGGAUGAGCCCGCGGCCGAUUAGCUAGUUGGCGGGGUAAAAGCCCACCAAGGCGACGAUCGGUAGCCGGCCUGAGAGGGUGACCGGCCACACUGGGACUGAGACACGGCCCAGACUCCUACGGGAGGCAGCAGUGAGGAAUUAUGCGCAAUGGGGGAAACCCUGACGCUGCGACGCCGCGUGGGUGAUGAAGGCCUUCGGGUCGUAAAACCCUGUCGAGAGGGAAGAACUGCGCGGGUGUUAACAGCAUCCGCGUCUGACGGUACCUCUGGAGGAAGCCCCGGCUAACUCCGUGCCAGCAGCCGCGGUAAUACGGAGGGGGCGAGCGUUGUUCGGAAUUACUGGGCGUAAAGCGCGCGUAGGCGGUCAGGUCAGUCGGAUGUGAAAGCCCUCAGCUCAACUGAGGAACUGCGUCCGAUACUGCCUGGCUUGAGUCCGGUAGGGGAUGGCGGAAUUCCCGGUGUAGCGGUGGAAUGCGUAGAUAUCGGGAGGAACACCGAUGGCGUAGGCGGCCAUCUGGGCCGGAACUGACGCUGAGGCGCGAGAGCUAGGGGAGCAAACAGGAUUAGAUACCCUG
This 800-nucleotide ribosomal RNA is filed under the name uncultured bacterium. RNAcentral's name for it is "bacterial SSU rRNA". It matches the Rfam family "Bacterial small subunit ribosomal RNA", at positions 8 to 789 of the family's 1533-position model. The record is from RNAcentral.